UCCCCGUUCUCCUGGGCAGUCUCUCCAGAGUUCUCGGCUUUCACCCGCUUUACCGUACAUGUCAAGCCCAGGUAAGGUUCUUCGCGUUGCAUCGAAUUGAGACACACGCUCCGCCGCUUGUGCGGGCCCCCGUCAAUUCCUUUGAGUUUUAGCCUUGCGGCCGUACUCCCCAGGCGGGGCACUUAAUGCGUUAGCUACGGCACGGAACCCGUCGAUAGAGCCCCACACCUAGUGCCCAACGUUUACGGCGUGGACUAC
This 258-nucleotide unclassified non-coding RNA is filed under the name uncultured Acidimicrobiia bacterium. RNAcentral describes it as "contains 16S-23S intergenic spacer region". The record is from RNAcentral. Lineage: Bacteria; Bacillati; Actinomycetota; Acidimicrobiia.